GAAAUGCGAUACGUAAUGCGAAUUGCAGAAUUCAGUGAAUCAUCAAAUCUUUGAACGCAAAUUGCGCUUUCUGGAUAGGCCAGGAAGCAUGCCUCUUUGAGCAUCGUUUUCACCUCAGCUCGAUUGCUUUCUUGUAAUGAGAAAAGUCUAAUCGGAUAAUGAGUUGUCUUAUUUGAAAUAAAUAAGUCACUUUAAAUGCGGUGAGCUCCAGAACUCCUAGUGUCAUUUUCUCUCUUUAUUGAGUGAAAAACUUGUCAAUUGACUUGUCGCUAGUGUCGUGGAUAAAUUUUAUCAACGAUAUAUUGGCUUGAUAAUGUUGAUUGAUAAGGUUAAACAUUGGGUAACUUGUGAACUCAGUGGAAAUUAACUAAUCUUUGAAUUAGAUCUCAAAUGAAGCAAG
This 400-nucleotide unclassified non-coding RNA is filed under the name uncultured fungus. RNAcentral's name for it is "sequence contains ITS1". The stretch from base 1 to 106 matches the Rfam family "5.8S ribosomal RNA", at positions 50 to 154 of the family's 154-position model. Lineage: Eukaryota; Fungi. The record is from RNAcentral.